AUUGAACGCUGGCGGCAGGCCUAACACAUGCAAGUCGAGCGGAUGAAGGGAGCUUGCUCCUGGAUUCAGCGGCGGACGGGUGAGUAAUGCCUAGGAAUCUGCCUGGUAGUGGGGGAUAACGUCCGGAAACGGGCGCUAAUACCGCAUACGUCCUGAGGGAGAAAGUGGGGGAUCUUCGGACCUCACGCUAUCAGAUGAGCCUAGGUCGGAUUAGCUAGUUGGUGGGGUAAAGGCCUACCAAGGCGACGAUCCGUAACUGGUCUGAGAGGAUGAUCAGUCACACUGGAACUGAGACACGGUCCAGACUCCUGCGGGAGGCCGCAGUGGGGAAUAUUGGACCAUGGGCGAAAGCCUGAUCCAGCCAUGCCGCGUGUGUGAAGAAGGUCUUCGGAUUGUAAAGCACUUUAAGUUGGGAGGAAGGGCAGUAAGUUAAUACCUUGCUGUUUUGACGUUACCAACAGAAUAAGCACCGGCUAACUUCGUG
This 484-nucleotide ribosomal RNA is filed under the name uncultured bacterium. RNAcentral describes it as "partial 16S ribosomal RNA". It matches the Rfam family "Bacterial small subunit ribosomal RNA", at positions 30 to 507 of the family's 1533-position model. The record is from RNAcentral.